UGGGGAAUAUUGCACAAUGGGGGAAACCCUGAUGCAGCGACGCCGCGUGAGUGAAGAAGUAUUUCGGUAUGUAAAGCUCUAUCAGCAGGGAAGAAAAUGACGGUACCUGAUUAAGAAGCCCCGGCUAACUACGUGCCAGCAGCCGCGGUAAUACGUAGGGGGCAAGCGUUAUCCGGAUUUACUGGGUGUAAAGGGAGCGUAGACGGUGAUGCAAGUCAGAAGUGAAAGCCCGGGGCUCAACUCCGGGACUGCUUUUGAAACUGUGUGACUGGAGUGCAGGAGAGGUAAGCGGAAUUCCUGGUGUAGCGGUGAAAUGCGUAGAUAUCAGGAGGAACACCAGUGGCGAAGGCGGCUUACUGGACUGUAACUGACGUUGAGGCUCGAAAGCGUGGGGAGCAAACAGG
RNAcentral lists this ribosomal RNA (404 nucleotides) under uncultured bacterium. RNAcentral describes it as "bacterial SSU rRNA". It matches the Rfam family "Bacterial small subunit ribosomal RNA", at positions 355 to 776 of the family's 1533-position model. The record is from RNAcentral.